This 72-nucleotide transfer RNA is filed under the name Camelus bactrianus (Bactrian camel). It matches the Rfam family "tRNA". From Rfam's summary of the family: Transfer RNA (tRNA) molecules are approximately 80 nucleotides in length. Their secondary structure includes four short double-helical elements and three loops (D, anti-codon, and T loops). The record is from Rfam by way of RNAcentral. Lineage: Eukaryota; Metazoa; Chordata; Mammalia; Artiodactyla; Camelidae. RNAcentral also lists the same sequence under 2 other names.
AGAGGAAUAACUCAGUGGUAGAGUGUGUACUUAGCAUGCACAAGGUCCUCUGUUCAAUCCCUGGUACCUCCA